Molecule: ribosomal RNA, 406 nt
Filed under: uncultured bacterium
Lineage: Bacteria
Description: partial 16S ribosomal RNA
Rfam family: Bacterial small subunit ribosomal RNA
Source: RNAcentral
AUUGAACGCUGGCGGCAGGCCUAACACAUGCAAGUCGAACGAGCGGCGGACGGGUGAGUAAUGUAUGGGGAUCUGCCCGAUGGAGGGGGAUAACUACUGGAAACGGUGGCUAAUACCGCAUACCAUCGGAUGUACCCAGAUGGGAUUAGCUAGUAGGUGGGGUAAAGGCUCACCUAGGCGACGAUCCCUAGCUGGUCUGAGAGGAUGAUCAGCCACACUGGGACUGAGACACGGUCCAGACUCCUACGGGAGGCAGCAGUGGGGAAUAUUGCACAAUGGGCGCAAGCCUGAUGCAGCCAUGCCGCGUGUAUGAAGAAGGCCUUAGGGUUGUAAAGUACUUUCAGCGGGGAGGCGUUACCCGCAGAAGAAGCACCGGCUAACUCCGUGCCAGCAGCCGCGGUAAUUC